This is an RNA transcript of Musa acuminata AAA Group (dessert banana), 1273 nucleotides long. It is a transcript of the gene named zinc finger protein 4-like, with no coding region annotated. The transcript is spliced from 2 exons. NCBI's taxonomy places the organism in Eukaryota, Viridiplantae, Streptophyta, Magnoliopsida, Zingiberales, Musaceae. The record is from RefSeq and is a predicted model, not a curated record.
UUAGUAUCCUUUGGAUAUAUGUUAGAUAUUAUAUUUUAAAUCAAAGAUAGAAGUGACCAUGCCAUAUUUUUAGUACUGAGAGGAAUAUGUCAUCCCAAAUAUAUUAAUUUGGGAUUUUAAUUUAAAUGUAAAAUUAAUGGUUCCAAAUUACUGAGAAGCGCUCGUAUAUUAAUUUAAAAUAUUUAAUUUUCUAUCCCAAUUAAUAUGGAAGACCAAAAUAACUAACUCACUAACUAACUAACUAACUAAACUCUGCCCUUUCUGUGGUGGUAGCCGAUCGAACUCGCCACCCGAGGAGAGGGAGGAUGGGAAGACCGAAGCCGUAGAGGUGCGGCCUUGGCGCCCCAUGGCGGUAACGAUCUUGCGGGUCGCGGCCGUUCUCCGAAUAGAUCUUAAGCGCCCCGUCGUUUCCUCGUAGAUGAGCGCCGAGAUGCGCUUCGCCUCGCCCAUACGCGGCAGCCGCCCGAUCGCCGGCUUCUUGAUCCUCUAGUUAUUGUUCCUUGGAACUUUCCGGUGCCGUUUCGUCCCGCCUUCUGCUGCGCACCCGGAUCGCGGAUCUGGUGGACUCCCGCGGCGGAUGGUAUGCCGUUUAUUUGAUGGUCUUCGUAUGCUCGCUUUGCCCUUGAGAUGGGAAACCGAUCCGUGGUAGCUUCUUGCUUCUUUUUCUGACCGUCGUAUUCACGAAGGUCUCUGUUCGUUGGUGGGAACGAGAAGUUGCCGGAUUCAACCUCGAGGAAAAGAUGAUGACCUGAAUCUGGAGCUGGGGUUGCAGCCAUGGAGUAGUCUGCCGGAGCCAGUGAUGAUGUUCACCUGCUCCUACUGCCCCCGCAAGUUCCACAGCUCCCAGGCUUUAGGAGGUCAUCAGAACGCUCACAAGCUGGAGCGGAGCCUCGCCAUGCAGCGCCGGGAGCUGGCCUUGGCCAUCCGUGAGAAGACAGACGGCUUCGGAUCUACCAGCAAUGGCGGUGUGGAUGAUAGGAAUAAGCUAGCAGUAGAGAUUGACUUGUCCUUGAGACUAUGAGAACGUUGUUGAGUUCCGAGUCAACUUGUUCCAUGUUCUUCUUCCUUGUAUUCUGAUUAAAUAGGUCAGAUCAUGAUUAGAUCAAGGUGGACUACUGUUUGAAGUAGUGAUAUAGUCUAUACUAUUAGAUGCGUUCAUUAAGAGUGCGGUCUUGUGAGUUGCCUUUAUAAGUUACUAUAGAUUUUUUUUUCUUUAAAUUUGUAUAGAUUAACGGACGAAUUCCAGAAAAAACUUUUGUUUUUGGGCUUUUAA